This 726-nucleotide ribosomal RNA is filed under the name uncultured soil bacterium. RNAcentral's name for it is "bacterial SSU rRNA". It matches the Rfam family "Bacterial small subunit ribosomal RNA", at positions 44 to 767 of the family's 1533-position model. The record is from RNAcentral.
AUGCUUUACACAUGCAAGUCGAGCGGCAGCGCGGGGCAACCUGGCGGCGAGCGGCGAACGGGUGAGUAAUGCAUCGGAACGUGUCCAUGUCGUGGGGAUAGCCCGGCGAAAGCCGGAUUAAUACCGCAUACGCCCGAGAGGGGAAAGUGGGGGACCGCAAGGCCUCACGCGAUUGGAUCGGCCGAUGUCCGAUUAGCUAGUUGGCGGGGUAAAGGCCCACCAAGGCGAUGAUCGGUAGCUGGUCUGAGAGGAUGAUCAGCCACACUGGGACUGAGACACGGCCCAGACUCCUACGGGAGGCAGCAGUGGGGAAUUUUGGACAAUGGGGGCAACCCUGAUCCAGCCAUUCCGCGUGAGUGAAGAAGGCCUUCGGGUCGUAAAGCUCUUUUGUCCGGAACGAAACGGGUAGCGUGAAUAUCGCUGCCUACUGACGGUACCGGAAGAAUAAGCACCGGCUAACUACGUGCCAGCAGCCGCGGUAAUACGUAGGGUGCGAGCGUUAAUCGGAAUUACUGGGCGUAAAGCGUGCGCAGGCGGUUUUGUAAGUCUGUCGUGAAAUCCCCGGGCUCAACCUGGAAAUGGCGAUGGAGACUGCAAGGCUAGAGUUUGGCAGAGGGGGGUAGAAUUCCACGUGUAGCAGUGAAAUGCGUAGAUAUGUGGAGGAACACCGAUGGCGAAGGCAGCCCCCUGGGUCAAGACUGACGCUCGUGCACGAAAGCGUGGGGA